Molecule: ribosomal RNA, 376 nt
Filed under: Diachasmimorpha longicaudata
Lineage: Eukaryota; Metazoa; Arthropoda; Insecta; Hymenoptera; Braconidae
Description: partial large subunit ribosomal RNA
Source: RNAcentral
CUCAUUUUGUAUAUAUAUAAGUUAUGAUAUAGGUUACUACUUGUAGUAUUGCUUGUACAUUCUUAUAUAUUUUAUUGCAAGAUGUUGUCGGCGUGCACUUCUUCCCUAGUAGAACGUCGCGACCCGUUGAGUGUCGGUCUAUAGCCCGAGAGGUAGCCUUUAAUUUUUUCAAUUAAAGACCCUUGGUGUUUUUCUGACUGGCUGCUCGAUGGUAUUCAUAAGGUAUUAAGCCGCAUAUUAUAUGCGUUUAUAUCCGUCGCAAGCGAGGUCAAUUUUUAGUAGUACGGACCUAGUGCCGUCGCUAUAAUUGAUCAGCUGUUGGUUGUACGGUAUUCUAAAACUGGCUUAUAAUUAAUACCGGUCAGCGAUGCUACUG